GGUUCGAUCCUGGCUCAGGAUUGAACGCUGGCGGAUGCUUUACACAUGCAAGUCGAACGGCAGCACGGACUUCGGUCUGGUGGCGAGUGGCGAACGGGUGAGUAAUGUAUCGGAACGUGCCCAGUAGCGGGGAUAACUACGCGAAAGCGUAGCUAAUACCGCAUACGCCCUUCGGGGGAAAGCGGGGGACCUUCGGGCCUCGCACUAUUAGGAGCGGCCGAUAUCGGAUUAGCUAGUUGGUGGGGUAACGGCUCACCAAGGCGACGAUCCGUAGCUGGUUUGAGAGGACGACCAGCCACACUGGGACUGAGACAGGGCCCAGACUCCUACGGGAGGCAGCAGUGGGGAAUUUUGGACAAUGGGGAAACCCUGAUCCAGCCAUCCCGCGUGUGCGAUGAAGGCCUUCGGGUUGUAAAGCACUUUUGGCAGGAAGAAACGGCACGGGAUAAUACCCCGUGCAACUGACGGUACCUGCAGAAUAGCAACCGCCAACUACGCCAGCAGCCGCGGUAAUACGUAGGGUGCAAGCGUUAAUCGGAAUUACUGGGCGAAGCGUGCGCAGGCGGUUCGGAAAGAAAGAUGCAGAAACUUCAGAGCUUAACUUUGGAACUGCAUUUUUAACUACCGAGCUAGAGUGUGUCAGAGGGAGGUGGAAUUCUCAUGUGUAGCAGUGAAAUGCGUAGAUAUGCGGAGGAACACCGAUGGCGAAGGCAGCCUCCUGGGAUAACACUGACGCUCAUGCACGAAAGCGUGGGAGCAAACAGGAUUAGAUACCCUGGUAGUCCACGCCCUAAACGAUGUCAAUUAGCUGUUGGGGCCUUCGGGCCCCUGGUAGCGCAGCUAACGCGUGAAGUUGACCGCCUGGGGAGUACGGUCGCAAGAUUAAAACUCAAAGGAAUUGACGGGGACCCGCACAAGCGGUGGAUGAUGUGGAUUAAUUCGAUGCAACGCGAAAAACCUUACCUACCCUUGACAUGUUCAAAUCCCGAAGAGAUUUGGGAGUGCUCGUAAGAGAACCGGAACACAGGUGCUGUAUGGCUGUCAGCUCGUGUCGUGAGAUGUUGGGUUAAGUCCCGCAACGAGCGCAACCCUUGUCAUUAGUUGCUACGAAAGGGCACUCUAAUGAGACUGCCGGUGACAAACCGGAGGAAGGUGGGAUGAUGACGUCAAGUCCUCAUGGCCCUUAUGGGUAGGGCUUCACACGUCAUACAAUGGUCGCAGAGGGUCGCCAACCCGCGAGGGGAGCCAAUCCCAGAAACCCGAUCGUAGUCCGGAUCGCAGUCUGCAACUCGACUGCGUGAAGUCGGAAUCGCUAGUAAUCGCGGAUCAGCAUGUCGCGGUGAAUACGUUCCCGGGUUCUGUACACACUGCCCGUCACACCAAGGAGUGGGUUUUACCAGAAGUAUAGUCAACCGUAAGGAGGGCGAUUACCACGGUAGGAUUCAUGACUGGGGUGAAGUCGUAACAAGGUAG
Molecule: ribosomal RNA, 1473 nt
Filed under: uncultured Bordetella sp.
Lineage: Bacteria; Pseudomonadati; Pseudomonadota; Betaproteobacteria; Burkholderiales; Alcaligenaceae
Description: partial 16S-23S ribosomal RNA intergenic spacer
Rfam family: Bacterial small subunit ribosomal RNA
Source: RNAcentral